This 75-nucleotide transfer RNA is filed under the name Proteus mirabilis. RNAcentral's name for it is "tRNA-Gln". It matches the Rfam family "tRNA". Rfam says of the family: Transfer RNA (tRNA) molecules are approximately 80 nucleotides in length. Their secondary structure includes four short double-helical elements and three loops (D, anti-codon, and T loops). The record is from RNAcentral. Lineage: Bacteria; Pseudomonadati; Pseudomonadota; Gammaproteobacteria; Enterobacterales; Morganellaceae.
UGGGGUAUCGCCAAGCGGUAAGGCACCAGGUUUUGAUCCUGGCAUACCUUGGUUCGAAUCCAGGUACCCCAGCCA